GUAAAUAAUACGUACAUAAAUGCCGAAAAUUGAUGAAAAGGAGUCAUUUAUAUAGACAUCAAAAUGCUAAUCCUCAAUGACGAAGAUGAAGGCUAUUCAGUCAAAACUCACCACGAUUAAAUACCUUCCUCCCUUCUACUCCAUCUAACACUUCAUCUUGUUCUCGACAUGUAACCUCGCUAUUUAAUAGGAGACAGCUGAUUAUAUUGUAAGGCAAUCAAUGAGGCCUCUCUUUCUCCUCCAAUUCUCUCAUUUGAGUUCUGAUGUUUCCUUUUUCCAAUUUUUUCGCCCCGGCAAUGCAAUUCUAAGAAGUUUGAGGAUCCAACUGAAGAAGGAGGAACCCUAGUUGCGAAAUUUAAGAACCUUUAGAUUUGACUGCUGGUUUUCGCAAACUCGAGGAUGAAACCCGGUGAUCAAAGUAUUGGGAUUUGCUUAGGUGAGUGAAUUGGGUUCUCAUGUUGUAUUUCUGAGCUAUUGUUUGGCCCAUGUUCAAUGUGGUUAGUGUAGCUAUUUUUUAUUUUGUAUGUUUGCUGGAGCACUAUAUUUUUGUUUAUCAAAUGUAGUAAGUGGCAAACAUUUUACAUAUUAAUUAUCCAUUUUGGAGUGAAUCAAAAUUUAUUAGAAAGCUGGUAAUAAGGUCAUGAUAAAUAUGUUAUGGAUGAAGUCUAAAUGUCAAAAAUUAUCUCUCGUGAAAUAUUGAACACAAAUUAAACCAUAUAAUUAUUAAGUCCAUUUCUUAUGACCAUUUUUAACUUGUUAUUAUGA
Molecule: long non-coding RNA, 765 nt
Filed under: Olea europaea subsp. europaea
Lineage: Eukaryota; Viridiplantae; Streptophyta; Magnoliopsida; Lamiales; Oleaceae
Source: RNAcentral